Molecule: long non-coding RNA, 3695 nt
Filed under: Homo sapiens (human)
Lineage: Eukaryota; Metazoa; Chordata; Mammalia; Primates; Hominidae
Description: non-protein coding lnc-AKR1E2-7:7
Source: RNAcentral
GUGGUUGUUGACAAUCCUUUUCAUUCCUUGGCUUGUAAUUGUAUGCCUCUGCCUUUACUCUUGUGUUCAUUUGGUGCUCUCUCUAUAUGUAUCUGUGCCUAAAUUUCCCUCUGCUUAUAAGAAAACCAGUCAUAUUGGAUUAGGAACCACUUUAGUCCAGUAUGAUCUAAUUUUAACUAAUUAUAUAGUUAAAGGCCCUAUUUUAACAUAAGCUCACAUUCUGAGUUUAUGAGUGGGCAUGGAUUUGGGGGUCUUCAACCCAGUUUAAGCAUGUAUAUAAUAGUUGACUUAAAGUGUUUUUUGAAAAUGGAAAUUUUUAAUAAUAUAAUGUGUAAACACUGGACAUCAGAUACUCUCCCUUUCUGGUGUUUGUUGCUGCCACUGCUUGUUUCUCUUGCUGUUUCUUAUUAAUUAAUUUUCCGAACCAGUUCUAUAAAGUCUCUGUUCUUUGUCACACGUAUCACUGAAGUCUCUGCUUGCUUAGCUUUGUGGUCACCUAAUGAUUCAAAAGACAUUUCCGUAAAUGCCUGGAAGCAAUCAGUCUUCUAGCCUUCGCUGAUGGGUUCUGCAUAUGAGUUCAGGCAUGCCUUCAGGACUCCACCAGGCACUUGGUAAUUCUGCCUUAUCCUUCACUUUUUGCUUGAGCAGCGCCGAAAGGUGAGCCAGAGGAGGGAAAUUUGGACAUGGACACAUAGGGAAGACAGCCAUGUGGAGACAGAGGCAGAGGUGGACCUGCUGCCGCAAAACCACAGGGCGCCAAGUACUGUGGGCCACUGAGAAAACUAAAGGAGAGGAAGGAUUCUUCCCUGGAGCUUUGGAGAGGGUGCGGCCCUACUUUCACCUGGAUUUCAGACUUCAGACUUCCAGAACCAUGAAGGAAUAAGCUCUCUUUGUUUCAAAACCACUCAGUCAAGGCACUUUGUUACAACAGCCUAGGAAACUAAUACAGGAAUUGGUAUUAGUAAAAUCAUUAUUGUUGGCUCAUAUGACCAUACUCAUAGAACUUUUAAGAUAAUAUGUAAAUAAGCAACUAAAACAAAAAGUCAGAAAGCUUUAUGGUGCCAGAUCAAUAUACAAAUAAAUAUCAUUAUUUUCCAAUAAAAACAAUUAUAUAAUGUAACAAUAAUAAAGUAAUAAUACAAAGAAACUUCCCAUAAUAGCUACCAAAAAUUCUAAAGUAGUUAUAACUAGUUUUUAAAAAUAAUAUGUUCAGAAAUUUUAUAUAAACAAAUAUAAAUUUUAAGUUAAAAAGAAAAAGAAAUGGAUAAAUACAUCAUUAAUGAAGUUUCAAUCAAAAUUCAUACAUGAAUAUUUCACAGAAUUUGACAAGUAUAUCUAAAAAUUAUUUUAAAGGAGUAAAACGAGCUUGGAAUUAUUUGAAGAAGAAAGUAUUUAUCCUUUUGUAUAUUAAGAGUUAGCCUAAGUCUCCCGGGACUCAAUGGUAUCACCUCUCUAACAAAAAAGGUCACAGAGAUAUGAAAACACAUCAUAAAAAAAUCUAUCGUUUUAUCACACAAUGAUUUGAUCACCUGUGCACAUGGAAACAACCUUAUUUUAAAUCCUUGUUUAGAGUCAAUUUUAAGGGAUAAUGUUGCAUGUGAAGCUCCAUAAUCAUUCUUUUGUGUUAAGUGGUUGAGGAAAAUAUCAGGCUGGUGAGAUGUUAAUUAUAGGUCCAGGGAAUAACUUGAGUUAAUAAAUCAGAGAUGAGUCCAAAGUUCUGUAAACAAGUUUCAACAUUUCUGGGCACCUGAGAUUAAGCACAGCUCUGAGAAGUGCUCCACACGUUCCUAAGUAUAUGAUGCAAGUUUUACUUUGGCAAGAAAAUGUAACUAUAUCUAGUACCCACCUUAGGAACAUGAAUGACGAAAUGGAGAUUUCACAUUUGCCAGAUGAAUAGGACUAAUGUAGAAAAACAAAUCAAACUGUCCUUUACUCUCAGUCAACCCCCUUCUCAAUAACAAAAACAUCCACAUAUCCACAUUGUCCAUCUAUUUUAAGGUCAAUAUAGUAUGGAUAUUAUACCAACUUGCAAAAAUAAAUUAAACCACUUACCACAGGUAUCCUCCAACAUCAUUGGCACCAUUAAAUAACAUUCAUUCAGAACUACUUUUAGUGAAUGUAGAUACUUAAUGUUUACAGACGAGGAAAUCUGAAUGGUACGAAACAAACAGAGACUUGUUCAAGGUCUCACACUGACUCAGCAGCAAAGUCCACAUAGGAAGUGAAUGUUCCUGAAGUAGCACAUUUUGUUUGGACUACAAGACCAACUGAGUUAUUAUCUUUAUUUGAAAAUGAUUCAUGCAAGUCUGCCACAGAUGAAGGUAAUGAACUGUAACCUCACUGGACGUGUAAACAGACUGUGACCUACCUACUCUUGUGCCAAUCAUGGAGUUUCAGCCAAUCACAGGCGGCCGGCUGUUCAAACCAUGUUUAAAUAAGGCAAACGCAGAGCUGUAAGCAAUCUAGGUGUUUCUGCACCUCUCGUCCAUUUUCUGUAAGUCCUUUUUCUGUUCAUAAAUCUUCUUCCAUCACGUGGCUGUGCUGGAGUCUUUGAACCUACCCUGCCUCGGGAGGCUGCCCCAAUCAGCAAUUUGUUCUUUGCUCAAUUAAACUCUAUUAAUUUAAUUUGCCUAAAAAUUUUUUAACAAUGUUUACUAGUAAAUUUCAUUUUUUCUUGCAAAAAAGAAAAAAUCCUGAAAACAGGAGUAGGGAAAGAUUGAUGGCUAAAAUUAAAUAUGGUUAACUUUAAUAUUUUAACUUAUCACAAGAAAAUUGCAUUGCUUUGGACUAUAAAAGUGAUACAUAAAUCUUUCACUUCAGUAGCGCCAUCACCAUCAUCAAAUAUUUAAAAACUUACAUAUGAAAAGAAAUAUGGUGGGGAGGGAAGUAGACAGAAACAGUUAAGAAACUAGGACAUAAUAAGACAGCAAAAUUCCUGUUGGUUUAUUUUUUGCUUGUUUCCUUGCUUAGUAUUCUCUGAUAGCCAAAGAAUAGACGAAAUAUUCUAAGAGCCAACGAAUAGACAAAAUUGGGCAGCUGCUUCUGGAAUACAAAGGUACAAAUCCUUAGAAAGUUCUUCUGAGCAGAUAAUCUUCCCAGAGCCUUGACACAAAUGUGAUCAUUAGAAUUUUAUUUCUCUGGGUUAAAAGUAACCUCAGGGAAGACAGCACUGUUGAGAGGCAUUUACAUCACUGAAAAUUAUUUUGGCAUAACAUUUUAAAUAUAAAAACCAGCUUGGAAAAUGAGAGACGCUGGAAAAUGCAAAAGCCUGUGUACAUGGGGCCUAUGCUUUAGGUUGGAGAGCCAGGACCCCGGGCGAGAGAGAACAAGCUAAAUGACCUGAGUUAAGUGACUUGGUCACUGCUGCAAACUUUGCUUCCUCAUCCAUUAAUUGAAGAUAACAAAAGUAAGAACCUAUCGCACAGGAUGGCAGGGAGGACUAAAUUAGCACGACAAUGACCAUCAGAAAAUAUGUGCUCAUUACACAUUAACCAUUUCUCUUCCUCUCGUUCCUCUCCUUUACUUCUUCUACCAGCAUCACCUCCAUUGCCACUUCACAACCUCACUACCCCAUUGCUAAUUUUGUCUUAAGGCAUGCUAGAGGUUUAAAUAAUAAUCAAGUAUACUGCUUUUCACUUAUCAUUAGCAAAAGCUUUUGAACAAGCCUAUGAACAAGAAGAAGCUACGUUCUCCCA